AUACGUAGGGGGCAAGCGUUAUCCGGAAUUACUGGGUGUAAAGGGUGCGUAGGCGGCACGACAAGUCAGAAGUGAAAGGCGGGGGCUUAACCCCCGAACUGCUUUUGAAACUGUCGAGCUGGAGUACAGGAGAGGAAAGCGGAAUUCCUAGUGUAGCGGUGAAAUGCGUAGAUAUUAGGAAGAACACCAGUGGCGAAGGCGGCUUUCUGGACUGAAACUGACGCUGAGGCACGAAAGCGUGGGGAGCAAACAGGAUUAGAUACCCUGGUAGUCCACGCUGUAAACGAUGAAUGCUAGGUGUUGGGUCUACGGACUCGGUGCCGCAGUUAACGCAAUAAGCAUUCCACCUGGGGAGUACGACCGCAAGGUUGAAACUCAAAGGAAUUGGCGGG
RNAcentral lists this ribosomal RNA (392 nucleotides) under uncultured bacterium. Its description in RNAcentral is "partial 16S ribosomal RNA". It matches the Rfam family "Bacterial small subunit ribosomal RNA", at positions 523 to 917 of the family's 1533-position model. The record is from RNAcentral.